CGGCGGACGGGUGAGUAACGCGUGGGUAACCUGCCUCAUACAGGGGGAUAACAGUUGGAAACGGCUGCUAAUACCGCAUAAGCGCACAGUACCGCUUGGUACGGUGUGAAAAACUCCGGUGGUAUGAGAUGGACCCGCGUCUGAUUAGGUAGUUGGUGGGGUAACGGCCUACCAAGCCGACGAUCAGUAGCCGACCUGAGAGGGUGACCGGCCACAUUGGGACUGAGACACGGCCCAA
RNAcentral lists this ribosomal RNA (238 nucleotides) under uncultured bacterium. Its description in RNAcentral is "partial 16S ribosomal RNA". It matches the Rfam family "Bacterial small subunit ribosomal RNA", at positions 96 to 334 of the family's 1533-position model. The record is from RNAcentral.